AUUGGGUCCGACGGUUCCCCGGCCGUUGCUCCGAUUGCCACAGGCCGGCCAUCUCCCUUCUUUCCGGCAACGGCAAGGGAGAAGGCGGCGUCCUUUGCCUCCUCCUCUCACUCCUGUAGCGUGGAGUCAAUAAGAACUUUGCGGCCGGCGAGGGGUGGCAGUCCCGCGGAGGACGCGGGGCGCCCGCCCGGCCAUGCGCGCCCCGCCCUCUGCCGGCGGCUUCAACUCGCCGUGGACGCUCGCCAUUCGCGCGGCGGCAGACCAAGGCCGGCCCCGCCGCGCCAUCGCUCUGUACCUCGCGUCCCUACGCUCGUCCUGCCGCCCCUGCCCCUUCGCACUCGCCGCCGUCCUCAAGUCUGUGCCCCGCCUUCCCGAGCACGCCGUUCUCCCCGCGGCGGCCUCCCUCCACGCGCACCUCCUCCGCCUCGGCCUCCUCUCCCACCCCUAUCCGCACGCCGCGCUCUCUCACCUCUACUCCCACCUCCUCCCCCCGCACCACAACCACGCCCGUGGCCUGCUUGAUGACGCGCCAACGCCGCUGAACCGCCACUCCCUCGUCUCGUCCAAUUCGCUCCUCGCUUCCCUCCUACGCGCGGGUGAUAUCCCUGCCGCGCGCGCCAUGUUCGAAGCAAUGCCCGCGCGGGACGUUGUGUCGUGGAACUCCAUGGUUGCUGGACUCGCCAAGGCCGGACACCUGGACGAGGCCAUCGAGAUGUUCGACCAAAUGCCCGAGACGAACGUCGCAUCCUGGAACGCCCUCGUGUCCGGAUUCAUGGCACAAGGCCACCUAGCCCAAGCGCAGGAGCUGUUUGAGCGGAUGCCCACCAGGAACAACGUUUCCUGGAUCACGAUGAUCUCAGGGUACGCCAAGGCCGGUGACGUCCAAGCUGCUGCUAACCUGUUUGAUAGGAUGGGCAGUAAGGACCUUUAUGCAUGGAAUGCGAUGAUCUCAUGCUAUGCACAAAAUGGCUGCGCAAGGGAGGCACUUGGCAUUUUUAACAGAAUGUUGAAGCCACAUAUUUGGGUGGUACCCAAUGAGAAGACUUUUUCCUCUGUGAUCUCGGCAUGUUCACAGCUGGGGGACUUAAGGUUCGGCUUGUGGGUUGAGAAUUUCAUGGGCUAUGUGGGGGUUGAUCUGGAUGAUCACUUGCGUACAGCUCUGGUUGAUUUGUACACCAAGAGUGGGCGAAUGGAUAGGGCUUUUGAUUUGUUCAGAGGAUUGAGAUCAAGGGAUGUGGUGUCUUACAGCGCAAUGAUAGUGGGCUGUGGAAUGCAUGGCAAGUUAAAUGAAGCUGUUGGCUUGUUCAAGGAGAUGUCCAAAGCAAGGAUUGAUCCUAAUGCGGUGACCUUUGUGGGGUUGCUAUCUGCAUACAGUCACGCGGGACUGCUGGAAGAAGCUCGUGCUUGUUUCACUUCCAUGACAAGCAGAUACAGAAUUAAUCCUUCAAUGGAACACUACACUAUUAUGGUAGACAUUCUUGGGCGCUGUGGAAAGUUGGAAGAAGCAUUCCAGCUGGUCAUGCAGAUACCUGUAUGCCCAGAUGCCAGUGUUUGGGGUGCCUUGCUUCUUGCUUGCAGGUUGCACAACAACAUUGAGCUUGGGGAAGUUGUUGCUUCCAAGUGCUUUGAACUGGAGCCACAAGAGAGUGGAUAUUACAUUCUCUUGGGUAACAUAUAUGCGCAAGCAAAGAAGUGGGACAAGGUUAAGGGUUUGAGGAAGAUGAUGGCAGAAAGGGGUUUGAGUAAGACACCCGGGAGUAGCUGGGUGCAUGUUGCAUGAAUCCAUUCUAUUGAUCUUGCUCAUUUUAUCAUUUGGGUCAGUUACUCAGAUGACAUAUUAGCAUGCAACUCAGAUUUUGGGCACUAAAUUUGGGAAGAUGAGGAAUGUCAGCGUUGGGGAACUAAGACGCGCUCAAGGAUCCCCAUCCAGGAGAUUGACUUUAGGGUCCACAGUAGAAGAGUCAUCGCUCUCGGGACUUUAUGAAUAGGGAGCCGCCCUUAACUCAAGAAAUGGAAGACUUCGAGACUAACUAUGCCUUAUACAAGGGUACCUCUAGCUUAGCCUGCUAGGCCACAUGACGUGGCGUACAAAAGUAAGCCCCAGGGCCCCUCGUGCCUCGGGCUGCAUGCCGGUCUAACCCCUAGGGCUCCCUACGCACUGGGGCACUUGACAAAUAAAGCCCUCAGGGUCACUUGCGUCCCGAGACACUCGACAAUAUAUGCUCUCGAUGCCCCCUGUGUCCGGGGCAUCUAGCAAUAUGAGCCUUUACGACACCUCAUGACCUGGGGCAUCUAAUGUAUAAGCCUCCGAGGCCCCUCGCGCUUCGGGGCAACUAGUUGUAUAAGCCCUUGUGUUCCCUCACGACACAAGACAACUAGCGGUAUGAGCCCCUGGGGCCCCUCAUGUUAUGGGGCGUCUAGCAGUAUGAGCCCUCGAGCCCCCUCGUGAGGGAGCCCAUACUUCUAGAUGCCCCGAGAGCCCAUACUUCUAGAUGUCUCAGGGCACGAGGGGCCUCGAGGGUUUAUAUCAUUAUACGCCCUGGGGUACGAGGGGCCUCGGGGCUUUAUACCAUUGGCCACCCUAGGGCGUAAGGGGCCAUGGGGGUUCAUACUGCUAGGUGCCCUGGUGCACCGGGAGCAUAUAAUGUCGAGUGUCUCAGGGCACGAGUGGCCCUAAAGACUUAAUUUGUUGGGUGCCUCGUUGUGUAAGGAGCCCCGGGGUUAGACAGGCAUGCAUCCUAGGGCGCGAGGGGUUGUGGUGCUUACUUAUGUACGCCACGCCAUGUGGCCUCACAGGCUAAGCUAGUGAUACCCUUGUAUAAGUCGUAGUCAGUGUCGAAGUCUUCCAUUUAGGGGUCGUGGUGCUUACUUAUGUACGCCACGCCAUGUGGCCUCACAGGCUAAGCUAGUGAUACCCUUGUAUAAGUCGUAGUCAGUGUCGAAGUCUUCCAUUUCUUGAGAUCAGGAGAGGUCCCGAGAGCGGUGACUUCCAUCAUGGACCUUGAAGCAGUCUUCUGGACAGGGAUUAUUGAGCGCGUCAUGGUAGCAGUCGAGGGUAUGUUCUUUCUGUGGGGAAAGAUACGCUGUUCUUGUGUGUUACAUGCAAGGGGAGUGGGUGAUGCACGAUGACACAUCUUGGUGGUAAUGCAUCCACCGCCAGCAUAGACAAUGAUGUGCUGGACAGAAGCAGAAACUUUUACGAGAGAAGAAGGGAAGGCAAGAAGAUGGUAGCGGUAGCUAUUGUAACCCAGUAAGUAAGCAAAAAGAAAAGCCUGGCUGGCCUGCAUUCCCUCCCUGACGCUUCUGAAAACCAGAGAUGAAAGGCUGCAGUUAUGUUCUGUCGUCUGUUUGAGUUCGUCAUUAGCCUGUUGUUCUGGAAUUCAUAAUUAGUGUGUGGUUCAUGUUUGCAUGAUUGUAACCCUAGAACAGCACAGCAUCUGCAGGCGUGAACCACAAACUUAUUACGAGCUCCAGGAUAGCACAGCUUAAAUUCAGUUAUUCUAAUCAUGUCUGCAGAUGCUGUACAUUUCCUUUCCUGCAUAGCGUAGUCAUGUUAACAUGUUAAACCGAACAAAUUUGCUCCUUCAACAAAAAAAGAGAGCAGAACAAAUUUCAUGA
RNA transcript from Zea mays, 3618 nucleotides. It is a transcript of the gene named Pentatricopeptide repeat-containing protein, with no coding region annotated. NCBI's taxonomy places the organism in Eukaryota, Viridiplantae, Streptophyta, Magnoliopsida, Poales, Poaceae. The transcript has 2 exons. The record is from RefSeq and is marked provisional.